RNAcentral lists this ribosomal RNA (253 nucleotides) under uncultured bacterium. Its description in RNAcentral is "partial 16S ribosomal RNA". It matches the Rfam family "Bacterial small subunit ribosomal RNA", at positions 524 to 776 of the family's 1533-position model. The record is from RNAcentral.
UACGUAGGGGGCAAGCGUUGUCCGGAAUCAUUGGGCGUAAAGCGCGCGUAGGCGGCCAGAUAAGUCCGGUGUGAAAGUCACAGGCUCAACCUGUGAAUGCCGCUGGAAACUGUCUGGCUAGAGUCCGGAAGGGGCGAGUGGAAUUCCUGGUGUAGCGGUGAAAUGCGCAGAUAUCAGGAAGAACACCGAUGGCGAAGGCAGCUCUCUGGGACGGUACUGACGCUGAGACGCGAAAGCGUGGGGAGCGAACAGG